Molecule: long non-coding RNA, 2121 nt
Filed under: Citrus maxima (pomelo)
Lineage: Eukaryota; Viridiplantae; Streptophyta; Magnoliopsida; Sapindales; Rutaceae
Description: long non-coding RNA (CMAX_LNC000075)
Source: RNAcentral
AAUUUUUUACUUGUGAAAACGGGGCUUAAAUCAGAAGCACGUGGCUGAUCGCUAGGCAAAGAGAGGUAGAGAACAAGGACGCAAUUCUUUUCUAGCCAAAAUUUUGCCUUCAAUGCCACGAAUAUCACCAUAUAUCUAAUGCAGCAUAGACUGACAGACAAAAUUGUGAUCUCUUUACUUUAAAAUCUAAAAAUAAACCCCCAAAAGAAAAAAAAAAAAAAGUUAACGAAAACAAGUUUUUAGCGUUUUAAUAGGCAUAAAUCAAGCACCACAGCACCCUCUCAACUCCGACGGCAUAUGUUGACAACUUGUCUAUUCCUCUUCUUGACACCAGAUUUUGCAACUUUAAGGCUUUGAUGCACACCACUCAACCGCAUUCUUCAGAUCUGGCUGGUAGUAGUUAUCUCCAACCUGCAAAUGUUUGCAAUAGCAGAGGAGAGGAGAUAAUAUGAAAAAAAAAAAAAAAAACUCCACUAUUGUCAACAAUCACAAACACAGUUCACCAUCUGCAGUGGCAAGACUAUUCAGAACAUGACUAGCUUAACUGAGCAUACCAACUUCAUACUAACGUGUACGAAGCUAGCAGUUAUCACCAAUGAUGUAAGGAAAAAUCAUUAGAGCAACAAUUUUAAUUGUAAGCUCAGAAGCCAAGCGUAACUAGUGAAUUUCAUUGGAGAAACCAUUAAGACAGGUUUCUUCUUACAAGUUAGUGCUUCAUCACUGCUAAGGAGGAAAAAGGUGGUAAAAAGCUAAAUAACGAAUUCAAAUUGGAAGUAAUCAGGCACUAUGCCUUUUGGCCAAUUUCUGGAAAAACAUAUUGAAAAUCCAACUGUUAUUACAUGACCAAAGAUAAAGAAAUUCAAAUCAAGAUUAAGAAGCUUCCUUCAUUCACUUAGCAAACAAAAUCUAAAAUACAAUACAAAUGAUAGUAAGCAUUCAUCCAAGUGAUGGACCAAGGAAGCAUUAGAAAAUGAAAAUCAUGCUAGAUAAAAGCAACAGACUUCUAAAUUACCCGAUUAGCUAUCACCUUUGCCAUUCUGUGGAUCUCAUGUUUCAUAACAGAUUUGUGAAGUAAUGCAAUGGGUUUAUUCUGUUUUUUGGUUUUAGUCGUCGCAAGCACCACAACUUGAUCUUUCCCAGGUUGAAUGGUAACUGUUUUCUAGUUAGCCAAUCCUAACACAGAACCACACUGUAAGACUCUCAAGCAGACUAUUUUUUUUUAAAAUGAGAUCUCAAUCAGACUAGUUAACCAAGCUCUAGACUCAAUUAAGAAAUGCAAUUGAAACUUCAAAUCAGAGGCCAAACUUCAAAUUCUACUUAAACCAAAAACUGUAAGAACUUAAUAACACUAUCUUUGGACUCAAAACAAUCAGCAUCCAAGGUUCAUUUUCUAGGGUAUCAAACAGUAAGGAAUCAUCGAAUCCAAAAAAAUCAUUUCACAUAAACACAAUAAUAAAAUGUCAAAAUUCAAAAACUAAGAUCUUCAUCUAUUCUUUAGCAUACAAGAAGAAGCUCAAAUCAAAUUUCCUCAACAAGCAAAGCAGUUCAGCAAUAACCUAAGCAACCAAACACCACCCACUUACAAGCUUAAUUUUUUUUCCCCUAUUCCCACAAAACCAACCAAAAACAAAAGUAGAGCAUUCAAUUUUUCUCCCCCCAAAUUUACAAACAGAACAUGUGAUUACAGCGCUUGAAAGUGUUAAGAUUUGUAGAGAUUGUUAGUCUCUUUGCUAAACUGAACACUAGCAGAUCCUCUUCCAAACUCCUUCACCAAAAAACAGUUGUUCUUCUUCACAAUCUCCAUAUCAACUGCGCCCCCACUGUUGCCAGCUUCUGUUAACCUACACUUCCCCAAAACCAAACCAAAUCACCACAAAAUCAAAAUCCCAUUAAUCUUAAAUUACAGAGUCUAGAAAACAAAUACCAUCGAAUCAUAGAGAUCGUAGCUGUCUGGGAUUCUGGUUUUGAUUGAUUUGGAUAUCUCGAGUGGAGGCUGAUAGGGUUUUACUUCUAAAAUGAAGCCAUAAACCCUAAUGUAGUUCUCUUUUUAAUUUUAAGAGUUCUAUUACUUGGAGGGUAGGGUUAAUUUCCAAUUAUUACGGUUCUGUCCAGUAAAAUUUU